AGCACUUGUUAUCAUCAUCAAGGAACUUUGUCCUAGCCGAGUAAGAUCCUCUUGCGAAAAUGCCAGACGGGGUAGUCUCUUCUGGCAUCUCAUGUGUAUAUGGCUCAGUUUGAGGACUAAAGGCCCCGAUCAUUUCUUUCAUGCUGUCCACUUUGAUACCAGUUUUCCAAACUGUGUUCGUGUAUUUGAGACCUGUCACUAUAUUAUUGUUGACCUGAAACGUGAAUUUCAGGUGGUAUUUACUCCCUUCUUUCAGGACAAACCAU
Molecule: unclassified non-coding RNA, 266 nt
Filed under: Hevea brasiliensis (rubber tree)
Lineage: Eukaryota; Viridiplantae; Streptophyta; Magnoliopsida; Malpighiales; Euphorbiaceae
Source: RNAcentral